This 396-nucleotide ribosomal RNA is filed under the name uncultured bacterium. Its description in RNAcentral is "bacterial SSU rRNA". It matches the Rfam family "Bacterial small subunit ribosomal RNA", at positions 30 to 428 of the family's 1533-position model. The record is from RNAcentral.
AUUGAACGCUGGCGGCAUGCCUUACACAUGCAAGUCGAACGGUAACGGGCCUUCGGGUGCCGACGAGUGGCGAACGGGUGAGUAAUGCAUCGGAACGUACCUUUCAGUGGGGGAUAACGUAGCGAAAGUUACGCUAAUACCGCAUAUUCUGUGAGCAGGAAAGCAGGGGAUCGCAAGACCUUGCGCUGAUUGAGCGGCCGAUGUCAGAUUAGCUAGUUGGUGAGGUAAAGGCUCACCAAGGCGACGAUCUGUAGCGGGUCUGAGAGGAUGAUCCGCCACACUGGAACUGAGACACGGUCCAGACUCCUACGGGAGGCAGCAGUGGGGAAUUUUGGACAAAUGGGGGGCAACCCUGAUCCAGCCAUGCCGCGUGAGUGAAGAAGGCCUCGGUUGUAA